AUUGAACGCUGGCGGCAUGCCUUACACAUGCAAGUCGAACGGCAGCACGGGGCAACCUGGUGGCGAGUGGCGAACGGGUGAGUAAUGCAUCGGAACGUGCCAUUGAGUGGGGGAUAACGUAGCGAAAGUUGCGCUAAUACCGCAUAUUCUGUGAGCAGGAAAGCAGGGGACCGCAAGGGCCUUGCGCUCUUUGAGCGGCCGAUGUCAGAUUAGCUAGUUGGUGAGGUAACGGCUUACCAAGGCGACGAUCUGUAGCGGGUCUGAGAGGAUGAUCGCCACACUGGAACUGAGACACGGUCCAGACUCCUACGGGAGGCAGCAGUGGGAAUUUUGGACAAUGGCGCAAGCCUGAUCCAGCC
RNAcentral lists this ribosomal RNA (359 nucleotides) under uncultured bacterium. Its description in RNAcentral is "bacterial SSU rRNA". It matches the Rfam family "Bacterial small subunit ribosomal RNA", at positions 30 to 393 of the family's 1533-position model. The record is from RNAcentral.